RNAcentral lists this ribosomal RNA (873 nucleotides) under Fusarium sp. RNAcentral describes it as "SSU rRNA". It matches the Rfam family "Eukaryotic small subunit ribosomal RNA", at positions 568 to 1470 of the family's 1831-position model. Lineage: Eukaryota; Fungi; Ascomycota; Sordariomycetes; Hypocreales; Nectriaceae. The record is from RNAcentral.
CAGCAGCCGCGGUAAUUCCAGCUCCAAUAGCGUAUAUUAAAGUUGUUGUGGUUAAAAAGCUCGUAGUUGAACCUUGGGCCUGGCUGGCCGGUCCGCCUCACCGCGUGUACUGGUCCGGCCGGGCCUUUCCCUCUGUGGAACCCCAUGCCCUUCACUGGGUGUGGCGGGGAAACAGGACUUUUACUGUGAAAAAAUUAGAGUGCUCCAGGCAGGCCUAUGCUCGAAUACAUUAGCAUGGAAUAAUAGAAUAGGACGUGUGGUUCUAUUUUGUUGGUUUCUAGGACCGCCGUAAUGAUUAAUAGGGACAGUCGGGGGCAUCAGUAUUCAAUUGUCAGAGGUGAAAUUCUUGGAUUUAUUGAAGACUAACUACUGCGAAAGCAUUUGCCAAGGAUGUUUUCAUUAAUCAGGAACGAAAGUUAGGGGAUCGAAGACGAUCAGAUACCGUCGUAGUCUUAACCAUAAACUAUGCCGACUAGGGAUCGGACGGUGUUAUAUUUUGACCCGUUCGGCACCUUACGAGAAAUCAAAGUGCUUGGGCUCCAGGGGGAGUAUGGUCGCAAGGCUGAAACUUAAAGAAAUUGACGGAAGGGCACCACCAGGGGUGGAGCCUGCGGCUUAAUUUGACUCAACACGGGGAAACUCACCAGGUCCAGACACAAUGAGGAUUGACAGAUUGAGAGCUCUUUCUUGAUUUUGUGGGUGGUGGUGCAUGGCCGUUCUUAGUUGGUGGAGUGAUUUGUCUGCUUAAUUGCGAUAACGAACGAGACCUUAACCUGCUAAAUAGCCCGUAUUGCUUUGGCAGUACGCUGGCUUCUUAGAGGGACUAUCCGCUCAAGCCGAUGGAAGUUUGAGGCAAUAACAGGUCUGUGAUGC